RNAcentral lists this ribosomal RNA (1344 nucleotides) under uncultured bacterium. RNAcentral's name for it is "bacterial SSU rRNA". It matches the Rfam family "Bacterial small subunit ribosomal RNA", at positions 28 to 1381 of the family's 1533-position model. The record is from RNAcentral.
GAUAAACGCUGGCGGCGCACAUAAGACAUGCAAGUCGAACGAACUUAACCAUUAGUUUACUAUUGGAGCGGUUAGUGGCGGACUGGUGAGUAACACGUAAGCAACCUGCCUAUCAGAGGGGAACAACAGUUAGAAAUGACUGCUAAUACCGCAUAUGCCUUGAGUAUCGCAUGAUACAAAAGGGAAAGGAGCGAUCCGCUGAUAGAUGGGCUUGCGUCUGAUUAGAUAGUUGGUGGGGUAAAGGCCUACCAAGUCGACGAUCAGUAACCGGACUGAGAGGUUGAACGGCCACUUUGGGACUGAGAUACGGCCCAGACUCCUACGGGAGGCAGCAGUCGGGAAUAUUGCGCAAUGGAGGAAACUCUGACUCAGUGACGCCGCGUGCCGGAAGAAGGUUUUCGGAUUGUAAACUGCUUUAGACAGGGAAGAUAAUGACCGUACCUGUAGAAUAAGCUCCGGCCAACUACGUGCCAGCAGCCGCGGUAAUACGUAAGGAGCAAGCGUUAUCCCGGAUUUAUUGGUCGUAAAGGGUGCGUAGACGGGAAGGCAAGUUAGUUGUGAAAUCCCUCGGCUUAACUGAGGAACUGCAACUAAAACUAUCUUUCUUGAGUGCUGGAGAGGAAAGUGGAAUUCCUAGUGUAGCGGUGAAAUGCGUAGAUAUUAGGAGGAACACCAGUGGCGAAGGCGACUUUCUGGACAGUAACUGACGUUGAGGCACGAAAGUGUGGGGAGCAAACAGGAUUAGAUACCCUGGUAGUCCACACCGUAAACGAUGGAUACUAGGUGUAGGGGAUGAAUAAUCUUCUGUGCCGUCGCAAACGCAGUAAGUAUCCCACCUGGGGAGUACGGCCGCAAGGUUGAAACUCAAAGGAAUUGACGGGGGCCCGCACAAGCAGUGGAGUAUGUGGUUUAAUUCGACGCAACGCGAAGAACCUUACCAGGGCUUGACAUAUAGAGGAAUAUAGUAGAGAUACUAUAGCUCUUCGGAGUCUCUAUACAGGUGGUGCAUGGUUGUCGUCAGCUCGUGUCGUGAGAUGUUGGGUUAAGUCCCGCAACGAGCGCAACCCCUGUUCUUAGUUGCCAGCACGUCAAGGUGGGAACUCUAAGAAGACUGCCGGUGAUAAAUCGGAGGAAGGUGGGGACGACGUCAAAUCAUCAUGCCCUUUAUGUCCUGGGCUACACACGUACUACAAUGGCUGUAACAGAGGGAAGCGAAGCAGUAAUGUGGAGCAAAACCCAAAAAAGCAGUCUCAGUUCGGAUUGAAGGCUGAAAUUCGCCUUCAUGAAGCCGGAAUUGCUAGUAAUGGCAGGUCAGCAUACUGCCGUGAAUACGUUCCCGGGCCU